UCAUAUACUGUCCCUCAGGUCAGCAGUGUUUCAUCAGUGGCAUCAUAUACUGUCCCUCAGGUCAGCAGUGUUUCAUCAGUGGCGUCAUAUACUGUCCCUCAGGUCAGCAGUGUUUCAUCAGUGGCAUCAUAUACUGUCCCUCAGGUCAGCAGUGUUUCAUCAGUGGUGUCAUAUACUGUCCCUCAGGUCAGCAGUGUUUCAUCAGUGGCGUCAUAUACUGUCC
Long non-coding RNA from Homarus americanus (American lobster), 223 nucleotides. RefSeq lists it as uncharacterized. The record is from RefSeq and is a predicted model, not a curated record. Lineage: Eukaryota; Metazoa; Arthropoda; Malacostraca; Decapoda; Nephropidae. The transcript has 3 exons.